This 465-nucleotide ribosomal RNA is filed under the name Vreelandella stevensii. RNAcentral describes it as "partial 16S ribosomal RNA". It matches the Rfam family "Bacterial small subunit ribosomal RNA", at positions 338 to 795 of the family's 1533-position model. The record is from RNAcentral. Lineage: Bacteria; Pseudomonadati; Pseudomonadota; Gammaproteobacteria; Oceanospirillales; Halomonadaceae.
CCUACGGGGGGCUGCAGUGGGGAAUAUUGGACAAUGGGGGCAACCCUGAUCCAGCCAUGCCGCGUGUGUGAAGAAGGCCCUCGGGUUGUAAAGCACUUUCAGUGAGGAAGAACGCCUGGUGGUUAAUACCCAUCAGGAAAGACAUCACUCACAGAAGAAGCACCGGCUAACUCCGUGCCAGCAGCCGCGGUAAUACGGAGGGUGCGAGCGUUAAUCGGAAUUACUGGGCGUAAAGCGCGCGUAGGUGGCUUGAUAAGCCGGUUGUGAAAGCCCCGGGCUCAACCUGGGAACGGCAUCCGGAACUGUCAAGCUAGAGUGCAGGAGAGGAAGGUAGAACUCCCGGUGUAGCGGUGAAAUGCGUAGAGAUCGGGAGGAAUACCAGUGGCGAAGGCGGCCUUCUGGACUGACACUGACACUGAGGUGCGAAAGCGUGGGUAGCAAACAGGAUUAGAUACCCUGGUAGUC